AUACGAAGGGGGCUAGCGUUGUUCGGAAUUACUGGGCGUAAAGCGCACGUAGGCGGAUAUUUAAGUCAGGGGUGAAAUCCCAGAGCUCAACUCUGGAACUGCCUUUGAUACUGGGUAUCUUGAGUAUGGAAGAGGUAAGUGGAAUUCCGAGUGUAGAGGUGAAAUUCGUAGAUAUUCGGAGGAACACCAGUGGCGAAGGCGGCUUACUGGUCCAUUACUGACGCUGAGGUGCGAAAGCGUGGGGAGCAAACAGGAUUAGAUACCCUAGUAGUCC
This 274-nucleotide ribosomal RNA is filed under the name uncultured bacterium. RNAcentral describes it as "partial 16S ribosomal RNA". It matches the Rfam family "Bacterial small subunit ribosomal RNA", at positions 523 to 796 of the family's 1533-position model. The record is from RNAcentral.